This 862-nucleotide ribosomal RNA is filed under the name Podospora appendiculata. RNAcentral describes it as "LSU rRNA". It matches the Rfam family "Eukaryotic large subunit ribosomal RNA", at positions 68 to 963 of the family's 3401-position model. The record is from RNAcentral. Lineage: Eukaryota; Fungi; Ascomycota; Sordariomycetes; Sordariales; Podosporaceae.
ACAGGGAUUGCCCCAGUAACGGCGAGUGAAGCGGCAACAGCUCAAAUUUGAAAUCUGGCUUCGGCCCGAGUUGUAAUUUGUAGAGGAAGAUUUUGGUGAGGCACCUUCUGAGUCCCCUGGAACGGGGCGCCAUAGAGGGUGAGAGCCCCGUAUAGUUGGAUGCCUAGCCUGUGUAAAUCUCCUUCGACGAGUCGAGUAGUUUGGGAAUGCUGCUCUAAAUGGGAGGUAAAUUUCUUCUAAAGCUAAAUAUUGGCCAGAGACCGAUAGCGCACAAGUAGAGUGAUCGAAAGAUGAAAAGCACUUUGAAAAGAGGGUUAAACAGCACGUGAAAUUGUUGAAAGGGAAGCGCUUGUGACCAGACUUGCGCCGGGCGGAUCAUCCGGUGUUCUCACCGGUGCACUCCGCCCGGCUCAGGCCAGCAUCGGUUUUCGUGGGGGGAUAAAGGCCCGGGGAACGUAGCUCCUCCGGGAGUGUUAUAGCCCUGGGCGCAACGCCCUCGCGGGGACCGAGGUUCGCGCUUCUGCAAGGAUGCUGGCGUAAUGGUCAUCAGCGACCCGUCUUGAAACACGGACCAAGGAGUCAAGGUUUUGCGCGAGUGUUUGGGUGUAAAACCCGCACGCGUAAUGAAAGUGAACGUAGGUGAGAGCUUCGGCGCAUCAUCGACCGAUCCUGAUGUAUUCGGAUGGAUUUGAGUAGGAGCGUUAAGCCUUGGACCCGAAAGAUGGUGAACUAUGCUUGGAUAGGGUGAAGCCAGAGGAAACUCUGGUGGAGGCUCGCAGCGGUUCUGACGUGCAAAUCGAUCGUCAAAUCUGAGCAUGGGGGCGAAAGACUAAUCGAACCAUCUAGUAGCUGGUUACCGCCG